AUAAUGGAGCACAUUGUUUGCUCUUAGAGGUCUGAGGAGAUCUGUCACAGCAGCUUCAGUGUUUGCUACACAACUCAAGAGGCUACUACCAGCUGACACCAACUUAGGAAAGGCAUUGCAAUGUGUUGCCCAAUCUCUCCCACCCUUUUCACCACGGCCUUCGAAAUCAUACUCAUAAUGGGAGACAAAUAGUCAGUAUGGAGUCAGACCAAUGACUGCCAGCUUUGAGGAGUUACAUGGACACGUGACAACUCUUCUCCAAAGAUCAGCCUGUACCACGCAGAACCUGAAAAAGGCUUGAAGAACUUCUUUUUGCAUGGAGGAUUUGUAGGAACAUCCACCCAGCGCUUGGCAGCCUUUUUCUGCAUUUUCUGUUCAGAUUAUUCGACACUGCUUCACUAAUCUUGAGGUCCGAUCUCUGGGGAGGACAGUUGAUGACUGAUAGUGUUCAUUUGUCCAGGCAUUCAGAGCAGAACAGAGGGAUAUGGGUCACAGCGAAGUGAUCCCAGAAUCCCACUGCCUGCUUUCCACCCUCUCUUCCUGCCCCCCCCAACGCCCCACCAUCCGUUCUGGCACCAUCACAUUAACUGGAAAGACUUGUAGAUCCUGGCAGGCCUGGCAACUGGAGAGAGGCCACUGCACCACCCUCUCAGCACUGCUCCAAGUCGGUUUUCACCAAGACCAAAUGGAGGAAUCUGGAGAGUUCAGCUGUGCCAUGAAAGAAUAGCCUUCUGGGAACAUGUCUGGGAAAAUAGAAGGAGGCAAGGAUUCAGAGUAAGGCAGAGGAAUUGCAGAAGGGAUGCCAGGAUUUUCUUCACCAGCAGAACCAGGAGAGCCAAAGUGUGGAGUGCCAAGCCAAACGGAGGGAAGCCAGCUUAGAAAUAUAGAAAAGGAGAUGAUGGGAAUGGUAAGAAGCUGAAAAGAUUCAGUGAGAGCACUGCUGCGGAGGAUAGACACCAUCCAGAUGGUCAGCUCAGUUGCUUACAAUAAAUUAUUUAUCAACUUCUUUCAUUUAAUGACGCCCAAAGCAUAAAACUUGGUCUUUACUUAGUAUUCAUGGUUCAAACAUGAAGUAUGAGUAUUCCUAUGAAUACUUGUUUUGUGACAAUUGCAU
This is a long non-coding RNA of Oreochromis aureus, 1114 nucleotides long. NCBI's taxonomy places the organism in Eukaryota, Metazoa, Chordata, Actinopteri, Cichliformes, Cichlidae. The record is from Ensembl.